RNAcentral lists this small nucleolar RNA (85 nucleotides) under Phycomyces blakesleeanus NRRL 1555(-). The record is from RNAcentral. Lineage: Eukaryota; Fungi; Mucoromycota; Mucoromycetes; Mucorales; Phycomycetaceae.
AAGUCAAUGAUGAUAGAAACUUUUUGUUGGAAUUACCGUCUGAAACUUCUGUGGAUAAAAAUUGGCUGUAUACCUGAGCCUUUCU